This 71-nucleotide transfer RNA is filed under the name Marmota monax (woodchuck). RNAcentral describes it as "tRNA.Ala". The record is from RNAcentral. Lineage: Eukaryota; Metazoa; Chordata; Mammalia; Rodentia; Sciuridae.
GGGGUUGUGACUCAGAGGUAGAGCACACACCUAGCACGCGUGAGGCACUGGGUUCGAUCCUCAGCACCACA